Molecule: ribosomal RNA, 120 nt
Filed under: Anolis carolinensis (green anole)
Lineage: Eukaryota; Metazoa; Chordata; Lepidosauria; Squamata; Anolidae
Source: RNAcentral
AAUUGUGGGCCGUAAUACCCUAAAAGUACCCAAUCUUAUCUGAUCUUGGAAGCUAAGCAUUGUCAGUCUUUGUUAGUAUUGCAAUGAGAGGCCACUAACAAAUGCCAGAUGCUAUAAUAA